UACGUAGGGAGCAAGCGUUGUCCGGAAUCAUUGGGCGUAAAGCGCGCGUAGGUGGCCCCGUAAGUCCGCUGUGAAAGUCAAAGGCUCAACCUUUGAAAGCCGGUGGAUACUGUGGGACUAGAGUACGGAAGAGGCGAGUGGAAUUCCUGGUGUAGCGGUGGAAUGCGCAGAUAUCAGGAGGAACACCAAUAGCGAAGGCAGCUCGCUGGGACGUUACUGACGCUCAGGCACGAAAGCAUGGGGAGCAAAAGGG
RNAcentral lists this ribosomal RNA (253 nucleotides) under uncultured bacterium. Its description in RNAcentral is "partial 16S ribosomal RNA". It matches the Rfam family "Bacterial small subunit ribosomal RNA", at positions 524 to 776 of the family's 1533-position model. The record is from RNAcentral.